This 497-nucleotide ribosomal RNA is filed under the name uncultured bacterium. RNAcentral's name for it is "partial 16S ribosomal RNA". It matches the Rfam family "Bacterial small subunit ribosomal RNA", at positions 28 to 507 of the family's 1533-position model. The record is from RNAcentral.
GAUGAACGCUGGCGGCGUGCCUAAUACAUGCAAGUCGAGCGAACGGACGAGAAGCUUGCUUCUCUGAUGUUAGCGGCGGACGGGUGAGUAACACGUGGAUAACCUACCUAUAAGACUGGGAUAACUUCGGGAAACCGGAGCUAAUACCGGAUAAUAUUUUGAACCGCAUGGUUCAAAAGUGAAAGACGGUCUUGCUGUCACUUAUAGAUGGAUCCGCGCUGCAUUAGCUAGUUGGUAAGGUAACGGCUUACCAAGGCAACGAUGCAUAGCCGACCUGAGAGGGUGAUCGGCCACACUGGAACUGAGACACGGUCCAGACUCCUACGGGAGGCAGCAGUAGGGAAUCUUCCGCAAUGGGCGAAAGCCUGACGGAGCAACGCCGCGUGAGUGAUGAAGGUCUUCGGAUCGUAAAACUCUGUUAUUAGGGAAGAACAUAUGUGUAAGUAACUGUGCACAUCUUGACGGUACCUAAUCAGAAAGCCACGGCUAACUACGCG